This 404-nucleotide RNase P RNA is filed under the name Alphaproteobacteria bacterium. RNAcentral's name for it is "RNase P RNA component class A". It matches the Rfam family "Bacterial RNase P class A". From Rfam's summary of the family: Ribonuclease P (RNase P) is a ubiquitous endoribonuclease, found in archaea, bacteria and eukarya as well as chloroplasts and mitochondria. Lineage: Bacteria; Pseudomonadati; Pseudomonadota; Alphaproteobacteria. The record is from RNAcentral.
CCAGACGGCCGGACGGCCGCCUUCGCCCUCGGGCGGGGGAGGAAAGUCCGGGCUCCACGGGAACACGGAGCCGGGUAACGCCCGGCGGGGGCGACCCCAGGGACAGUGCCACAGAGAGCAGACCGCCGGCCGCCGGGGCUUCGGCCCAUGGCCUGCCGGCAAGGGUGAAAGGGUGCGGUAAGAGCGCACCGCGUCGCCGGUAACGGCGAUGGCACGGCAAACCCCUCCGGGAGCAAGACCAAGUAGGGGCGGUUCGCCCGUCGCGAGAUGGGCAGUGCGUUCCCGCGCCAGCCGCCCGGGUCGGUCGCGCGAGGCGCCCGGUAACGGGCGUCCCAGAUGAAUGGUCGUCGCGUGGGCUCUCGUGGGCCCGCGUACAGAACCCGGCUUAUAGGCCGUCUGGCGCC